This 78-nucleotide microRNA precursor is filed under the name Tursiops truncatus (common bottlenose dolphin). Its description in RNAcentral is "miRNA (ENSTTRG00000024886.1)". The record is from RNAcentral. Lineage: Eukaryota; Metazoa; Chordata; Mammalia; Artiodactyla; Delphinidae.
UGGGUUGACCAAAAAGUUCCUUCGGGUUUUUCUGUAAGAUGUUACGGAAAAACCCAACCGAACAUUUUGGCCAACCCA